This 253-nucleotide ribosomal RNA is filed under the name uncultured bacterium. RNAcentral's name for it is "partial 16S ribosomal RNA". It matches the Rfam family "Bacterial small subunit ribosomal RNA", at positions 524 to 776 of the family's 1533-position model. The record is from RNAcentral.
UACGGAGGGGACUAGCGUUGUUCGGAAUUACUGGGCGUAAAGCGCACGUAGGCGGAUUUGUAAGUUAGAGGUGAAAGCCCGGAGCUCAACUCCGGAACUGCCUUUAAGACUGCAUCGCUUGAAUCCAGGAGAGGUGAGUGGAAUUCCGAGUGUAGAGGUGAAAUUCGUAGAUAUUCGGAAGAACACCAGUGGCGAAGGCGGCUCACUGGACUGGUAUUGACGCUGAGGUGCGAAAGCGUGGGGAGCAAACAGG